RNAcentral lists this ribosomal RNA (254 nucleotides) under uncultured bacterium. Its description in RNAcentral is "partial 16S ribosomal RNA". It matches the Rfam family "Bacterial small subunit ribosomal RNA", at positions 524 to 776 of the family's 1533-position model. The record is from RNAcentral.
UACGUAGGGGGGCAAGCGUUGUCCGGAAUCAUUGGGCGUAAAGCGCGUGUAGGCGGCUCGGUAAGUCUGCUGUGAAAGUCCAGGGCUCAACCCUGGGAUGCCGGUGGAUACUGUCGAGCUCGAGUCCGGAAGAGGCGAGUGGAAUUCCUGGUGUAGCGGUGAAAUGCGCAGAUAUCAGGAGGAACACCAGCGGCGAAGGCGGCGCUCUGGGCCGGUACUGACACUGAGGAGCGAAAGCGUGGGUAGCAAACAGG